AAAGAAGUCAAGCCUCAGAGUCUACUGCCCUCAUGCGAUGAAAAGUGAGUGAGAGCAGCGAGCCAGUGACCAUUGUUGAUGCCAGGCAAGAGCCCUCCAUCUGGGAGCUGAGCAGCCGCCAGUCUCGCUACUCUCGCAAAGGAAUUGUCCAGGAGCCCUAGCCAGAGGAGAAGUGGCCAAGGUGUACCUAAGCAGCUUGGACAUCCUUCUAAGUGGACAUGAAGAGUCGUCAGCUUUCUGUCUCCCGCAUAACUGGCUCUGAGUAAGCGUACAAACAGUUUACUCCCCUCAUUGGAUGGAAAGCGAGCGAGAGCAGUGAGCCCGCGAGCACUGUUGAUGCAAGCCAGGAGUCGUCCAGUUGGCAGUGGAGCAGUCGCUAAUGUCAGUGAGAUAAGUGUCUGGUUUGUUUAAGGCUUUGUUCACGGCCCGCCUGGCUCCAGGUAGGGACUCCCCAUUAGCUGGGGCUGGGUUUGUAAGAAAUGGUUCCUGACCAGCUGUGGUUACGAGAGAGACAAGGUCCCCGUUUUCAGGGGCUGCUCAUUUCUCUGGCCAGGAACGGUGUCUCCUUCGCAGGAGAAGGUUGCAUCUAGGAGGAGGACUCCAGCUGGUGAGUUGCUUGCCGUGCUCUCAUGUUUCUCUGUCUUCUUUAGUGUGUUCGCCAACUCUCUCUCUCUCUCUCCUCUUCUCUCCUUUUGCUGUCUCACUUCAUAGGGUACGGGUAGUGUGCAUUCCCAGAAGUGAGGUCUCGGGAGCCCUGGAGAAGUAGGAGCGGACGAAAAUCGUGCAGGGCAGUGGGUGCGAGCAUGGAGUGGUGACUGUCGGUGUUAACUCUGUGUCUGUUCAUCG
Molecule: non-coding RNA, 846 nt
Organism: Caretta caretta (loggerhead turtle)
Lineage: Eukaryota; Metazoa; Chordata; Testudines; Cheloniidae
Source: RefSeq, a predicted model, not a curated record